UUGCUUCAGCAGCACAUAUACUUACAUUGGAAUGAUACAGAGAAGAUCAGCAUGGCCCCUGUACAAAGAUGACAUGCAAAUUCAUGAAGCAUUCUU
RNAcentral lists this small nuclear RNA (96 nucleotides) under Sphenodon punctatus (tuatara). The record is from RNAcentral. Lineage: Eukaryota; Metazoa; Chordata; Lepidosauria; Sphenodontia; Sphenodontidae.